GUCAGAUAAGCAUCCUUUAAAAAAAAGAAAAAAGAAAAGAAAGAAAAGAAAUCCAUCUAGUUUCUGACGAAUUAACAGGUGUACACCACACUCUAGGAUUAUCACCACGAGGUGUAUAAGAUCCCAGAAUUCAGCAACGAUGUUAAUGGGGAGGCCAAAGAGACACAGCCCAUUUUUUUAGUCCAAGUUGAGGAAGAUGCAAGAAUUCCAAUGAAGGACCAGGCUUGAGAUAGAUACGCUUUCAAAGUGGUUGCUCCAGAAGGCCUUCAACAUCAAGAGACAAAAGAUUGAACAGCCUGGGAGUG
RNAcentral lists this long non-coding RNA (305 nucleotides) under Homo sapiens (human). RNAcentral describes it as "non-protein coding lnc-BEND7-5:8". Lineage: Eukaryota; Metazoa; Chordata; Mammalia; Primates; Hominidae. The record is from RNAcentral.